UACGGAAGGCAGCAGUGGGGAAUAUUGCACAAUGGGCGCAAGCCUGAUGCAGCCAUGCCGCGUGUAUGAAGAAGGCCUUCGGGUUGUAAAGUACUUUCAGUCGUGAGGAAGGUGUUAAGGUUAAUAACCUUAGCAAUUGACGUUAGCGACAGAAGAAGCACCGGCUAACUCCGUGCCAGCAGCCGCGGUAAUACGGAGGGUGCGAGCGUUAAUCGGAAUUACUGGGCGUAAAGGGCACGCAGGCGGUUAAUUAAGUUGGAUGUGAAAUCCCCGGGCUUAACCUGGGAAUGGCAUUCAAGACUGGUUAGCUAGAGUCUUGUAGAGGGGGUAGAAUUCCAUGUGUAGCGGUGAAAUGCGUAGAGAUGUGGAGGAAUACCGGUGGCGAAGGCGGCCCCUGGACAAAGACUGACGCUCAUGUGCGAAAGCGUGGGGAG
Molecule: ribosomal RNA, 434 nt
Filed under: uncultured bacterium
Lineage: Bacteria
Description: bacterial SSU rRNA
Rfam family: Bacterial small subunit ribosomal RNA
Source: RNAcentral